This 450-nucleotide ribosomal RNA is filed under the name uncultured Glomeromycotina. RNAcentral describes it as "SSU rRNA". It matches the Rfam family "Eukaryotic small subunit ribosomal RNA", at positions 569 to 1023 of the family's 1831-position model. The record is from RNAcentral. Lineage: Eukaryota; Fungi; Glomeromycota.
AGCAGCCGCGGUAAUUCCAGCUCCAAUAGCGUAUAUUAAAGUUGUUGCAGUUAAAAAGCUCGUAGUUGAAUUUCGGGGUUAGUAGGUUGGUCGUGCCUUUGGUAUGUACUGGUCUCACUGAUUCCUCCUUCUUGAAGAACUGUAAUGUCAUUAAUUUGGUGUUGCAGGGAAACAGGACUGUUACUUUGAAAAAAUUAGAGUGUUUAAAGCAGGCUAACGCCUGAAUACAUUAGCAUGGAAUAAUGAAAUAGGACGUUCGAUCCUAUUUUGUUGGUUUCUAGGAUUGACGUAAUGAUUAAUAGGGAUAGUUGGGGGCAUUAGUAUUCAAUUGUCAGAGGUGAAAUUCUUGGAUUUAUUGAAGACUAACUACUGCGAAAGCAUUUGCCAAGGAUGUUUUCAUUAAUCAAGAACGAAAGUUAGGGGAUCGAAGACGAUCAGAUACCGUCGUAG